GCUGGCAAAGGCAAACCAUAAGCAAUUAUGGCACGCAAAGUUACAGGCCCAUUUCGCAUUUUGAAAUGGGCAGCUGAACUACCGAAU
This 87-nucleotide non-coding RNA is filed under the name Candidatus Melainabacteria. RNAcentral's name for it is "c-di-GMP sequence". It matches the Rfam family "c-di-GMP-I-GGC riboswitch aptamer". The record is from RNAcentral. Lineage: Bacteria; Bacillati.